CGGUGUUUAACUGGCGUGAUGUGGGACGUCCUACCGGUGGGCUUAGCCUCGCGAGGGGCGGCCCAACUAAUAUCCCGUCGCGGUGCUCUUUACUGAGUGUCGAGUCGGGCCGGUACGUUUACUUUGAACAAAUUAGAGUGCUUAAAGCAGGCUAUCCUCGCCUGAAUACUGCGUGCAUGGAAUAAUGGAAUAGGACCUCGGUUCUAUUUUGUUGGUUUUCGGAACCCCGAGGUAAUGAUUAAUAGGGACAGAUGGGGGCAUUCGUAUUGCGACGUUAGAGGUGAAAUUCUUGGAUCGUCGCAAGACGGACAGAAGCGAAAGCAUUUGCCAAAAAUGUUUUCAUUAAUUAAGAACGAAAGUUAGAGGUUCGAAGGCGAUCAGAUACCGCCCUAGUUCUAACCAUAAACGAUGCCAGCUAGCGAUCCGCCGAAGUUCCUCCGAUGACUCGGCGGGCAGCUUCCGGGAAACCAAAGCUUUUGGGUUCCGGGGGAAGUAUGGUUGCAAAGCUGAAACUUAAAGGAAUUGACGGAAGGGCACCACCAGGAGUGGAGCCUGCGGCUUAAUUUGACUCAACACGGGAAACCUCACCAGGCCCAGACACCGGAAGGAUUGACAGAUUGAUAGCUCUUUCUUGAUUCGGUGGGUGGUGGUGCAUGGCCGUUCUUAGUUGGUGGAGCGAUUUGUCUGGUUAAUUCCGAUAACGAACGAGACUCUAGCCUGCUAAAUAGGCGUACCUUAUGGUAUCGCGAAGGCCCCCGGCUUCGGCCGGUGGGUUUUUACUACCAACGUACAAACAAAUCUUCUUAGAGGGACAGGCGG
RNAcentral lists this ribosomal RNA (819 nucleotides) under uncultured eukaryote. RNAcentral's name for it is "SSU rRNA". It matches the Rfam family "Eukaryotic small subunit ribosomal RNA", at positions 629 to 1426 of the family's 1831-position model. The record is from RNAcentral.